UUUAUUAUUAUUAACAUGUUGUAAUCAUUACCAUGGGAUGAUGCAAUAGAUCCAUGACGGGAUGGGAUGAUGCAAUAGAUCCAUGACGGGAUACCAUUUUCUGCAAUUCUUAUAGUCAUCACAGUAGGAUUAUGAGCACAUAAAGAGUUUGCAAACUCGAAAGCUGUUUGUUGUUUUGAUCAAAAUAUCGGAAAAUAUGUGGCCUUUUUGGUGGAAAGGACCAUCUGGGUUCUCACCUAGAUCAACAGCCGAGCAAGUUACUCAAGGGAUUGAUGCAACUGGUCUCACUGCCAUAGUUACAGGUCUGAAGCCGAUCCGGGUUUCUUUUGUUUUCAAGUUUUAUGCUUUUUUCUGUUAGAAACUAAACGCACAAGUAUUUGAACCUACUUACUCUAGGAUUUUAAUUUUUAUCUAACAUGUUCAUACUUCGAUCAUUUCUUCUCACAAAGUUUAAGUCUUGUUUGGCUGCUUGGAAAAGCGAAGGAAAACAAAUGAAAAAUAGACCCAUGAAUCUCAUAUACUCUGUUUGUUUGUGUGUGUUUUUUGACGAAGUCAACUAAUCCAAGUAGUUGUGUUAUGUUCAACGUUUCAAGCAGUCAAAAAAAUUUCGAGGUUCGUGAUGAUGAUAUCUGUUUUUUGCUUUUGUUCUGAUUGAAACUUACGGGAAAAAUUAAGACUUGUUCUUGUUCAUUUGUAUAACGGAAUAUGCAAAGUUUCUUUCUUUGGGUGAUCAUUUCUGGGUUUUCGUGCUUUUGCCAGUUUUUUUUUCCUCUGUACAUGGAUGCUAAGCUAUUUUUUAGUUCGUGCAAGAUCUAUAGAGACGAAGUUGAAAAUGUCUGGUGAAUAUAUCGGGGCUUCAAAUUCUUUUUCUAGUUCGUUCUAGGCGCUUGCAGAUGUUAAUAAACUUAUUUGGCCUGGGUAGCUUGUAAUCGUGGUAUGUUUGGAAUUUAAUUACUUUAUUUCACAUAACUAUAUUUGGAGAGGUUUUACAUACCGCUAUACCAGUUUUGUCAUGCUCCAUAGGUGGGGAUCACUAGUUAAUAUUUGGAGUGGAGUUCUCUUUAUCUUCCUGUUUAUAGAGAGUGGUCCACUGCAGAUGGGAUUCAUUUUGGAACUUAUGAUUUAUCAUAUUCUUGGGGCGAGACUUUCUACAUCAGAAUGGAGUUCCUAUAUCAGAAUUUUUCUAUUCGUGUGUUGAUCAGUUGUGGACAGCUUGCUAUAUUUAGGGUUCUGAUGGCAAUAGAUAUACAUUUGCACUUUUAGUAAUUGGUUGGUUAAUCUGUUAAUACAUUCCAUGCCUACUCCAUUUCAGGAGCCUCGAGUGGUAUUGGAACGGAGACCACACGUGUUCUUGCUUUGCGUUGUGCCCAUGUAGU
This 1376-nucleotide long non-coding RNA is filed under the name Populus trichocarpa (black cottonwood). RNAcentral's name for it is "long non-coding RNA (PTRI_LNC000977)". Lineage: Eukaryota; Viridiplantae; Streptophyta; Magnoliopsida; Malpighiales; Salicaceae. The record is from RNAcentral.